GCUGCGGAGCGCAGUUUUGGUAUCGCGAAAUUGAGCGAGAUUACGGAAGCCGGGAGGAUUGGGGCAACAUUUUCCGGAGUUUAGGGCCGGUUGUGGCUCUGAGCGAGGCGCUUCUAAGUGCCAGUGUCAGGAAGAGAACCCUGAACGGUCACAAAGUUUCUUACCUUGGAGUUAUCGCUGGGUCUGAGAAAUUCAAAGCACCCACCAACAAGGAGAGAGUGGCUUCUGUGUUUGCUUCGCGGCUGCGACCGGUGCACGAAGCGUGGCGGUGGCUGCGAAGGGCGCACGAAGUGCAGCAGAGAGGAGCUACCCCAUGUCCGAGGUCAGGAGCAGAAGCUGGGAGGACCCCAUGCCCAAAGGGCGGCAGCCAAGAGGAGUUACCCCACGUCCAAGGUCAGGGGCAGCGGCCGAGAGUGCCAGGCUACGGCGGUGCAGGAACGGCCGAGAAGAGCUACUCAAGUCUGGGGUCAGGAGCAGCGGCCGGGAGGAGCUACCCCGCGUCUGAGGUCAGGGGCGGCGUGGCGGUGGCCUGGAGGAGCUACCCCAUGCCCCUAUGCACGAGACCAGGGGCGGUGGCCAGGAGGACCAACCCCACGUCCAAGGAGCGGUGGCUACACGGGCACAAGAGGGCCGAGAGGAGCUACUCCACGUUCAAGGUCAGGAGGGGUGCCGGUGAGGAGAUACCCCUCGUCCAAGGUAAGGAGCAGCGGCUGCACUUUGCUGGAGCAGCUGUGAAGAGAUACCCCACGUCCAAGGUAAGAGAAACACAAGUGAGAUGGUAGGUGUUGCGAGAGGGCAUCAGAGGG
Molecule: long non-coding RNA, 806 nt
Filed under: Bos mutus (wild yak)
Lineage: Eukaryota; Metazoa; Chordata; Mammalia; Artiodactyla; Bovidae
Description: lncRNA (ENSBMUG00000017278.1)
Source: RNAcentral